This 451-nucleotide ribosomal RNA is filed under the name Providencia rettgeri. RNAcentral describes it as "bacterial SSU rRNA". It matches the Rfam family "Bacterial small subunit ribosomal RNA", at positions 1 to 450 of the family's 1533-position model. Lineage: Bacteria; Pseudomonadati; Pseudomonadota; Gammaproteobacteria; Enterobacterales; Morganellaceae. The record is from RNAcentral.
UAAUUGAAGAGUUUGAUCAUGGCUCAGAUUGAACGCUGGCGGCAGGCCUAACACAUGCAAGUCGAGCGGUAACAGGGGAAGCUUGCUUCUCGCUGACGAGCGGCGGACGGGUGAGUAAUGUAUGGGGAUCUGCCCGAUAGAGGGGGAUAACUACUGGAAACGGUAGCUAAUACCGCAUAAUCUCUCAGGAGCAAAGCAGGGGAACUUCGGUCCUUGCGCUAUCGGAUGAACCCAUAUGGGAUUAGCUAGUUGGUGAGGUAAUGGCUCACCAAGGCGACGAUCCCUAGCUGGUCUGAGAGGAUGAUCAGCCACACUGGGACUGAGACACGGCCCAGACUCCUACGGGAGGCAGCAGUGGGGAAUAUUGCACAAUGGGCGCAAGCCUGAUGCAGCCAUGCCGCGUGUAUGAAGAAGGCCCUAGGGUUGUAAAGUACUUUCAGUCGGGAGGAAG